Molecule: ribosomal RNA, 500 nt
Filed under: uncultured bacterium
Lineage: Bacteria
Description: partial 16S ribosomal RNA
Rfam family: Bacterial small subunit ribosomal RNA
Source: RNAcentral
AUUGAACGCUGGCGGCAUGCCUUACACAUGCAAGUCGAACGGCAGCACGGACUUCGGUCUGGUGGCGAGUGGCGAACGGGUGAGUAAUAUAUCGGAACAUACCCUGUAGUGGGGGAUAACUAUCCGAAAGGAAAGCUAAUACCGCAUACGCUCUAAGGAGGAAAGUGGGGGAUCGCAAGACCUCAUGCUAUAAGAGUGGCAGAUCUCUGAUUAGGUAGUUGGUGAGGUAAAGGCUCACCAAGGCGACGAUCAGUAGCUGGUCUGAGAGGACGACCAGCCACACUGGAACUGAGACACGGACCAGACUCCUACGGGAGGCAGCAGUGGGGAAUUUUGGACAAUGGGGGCAAGCCUGAUCCAGCAAUGCCGCGUGAGUGAAGAAGGCCUUCGGGUUGUAAAGUGCUUUUGUCAGGAAAGAAACGGUUGUGGCUAAUAUCCAUGGCUAAUGACGGUACCUGAAGAAUAAGCACCGGCUAACUACGUGCCAGCCGCCGCCGUAA